This 82-nucleotide transfer RNA is filed under the name Coniochaeta pulveracea. It matches the Rfam family "tRNA". Rfam says of the family: Transfer RNA (tRNA) molecules are approximately 80 nucleotides in length. Their secondary structure includes four short double-helical elements and three loops (D, anti-codon, and T loops). Lineage: Eukaryota; Fungi; Ascomycota; Sordariomycetes; Coniochaetales; Coniochaetaceae. The record is from Rfam by way of RNAcentral.
UCUCUGUUCGUAUAGUGGUUAGUAUGUGAGCUUGUCAUUCCAGACAUCGCUCGAGACCGGGGUUCAAUUCCCCGACAGAGAG